This 429-nucleotide ribosomal RNA is filed under the name Chloroflexota bacterium. Its description in RNAcentral is "Chloroflexi bacterium partial 16S ribosomal RNA". It matches the Rfam family "Bacterial small subunit ribosomal RNA", at positions 355 to 776 of the family's 1533-position model. Lineage: Bacteria; Bacillati; Chloroflexota. The record is from RNAcentral.
UAGGGAAUCUUCGGCAAUGGACGAAAGUCUGACCGAGCAACGCCGCGUGAGUGAAGAAGGUUGUCGGAUCGUAAAACUCUGUUGUUAGAGAAGAACAAGGACGUUAGUAACUGAACGUCCCCUGACGGUAUCUAACCAGAAAGCCACGGCUAACUACGUGCCAGCAGCCGCGGUAAUACGUAGGUGGCAAGCGUUGUCCGGAUUUAUUGGGCGUAAAGCGAGCGCAGGCGGUUUCUUAAGUCUGAUGUGAAAGCCCCCGGCUCAACCGGGGAGGGUUAUUGGAAACUGGGAGACUUGAGUGCAGAAGAGGAGAGUGGAAUUCCAUGUGUAGCGGUGAAAUGCGUAGAUAUAUGGGGGAACACCAGUGGCGAAGGCGGCUCUCUGGUCUGUAACUGACGCUGAGGCUCGAAAGCGUGGGGAGCAAACAGG